AGAAAACGCCAGAGCAGUAGAAAAUAUUGAUCAAUUAUUGGUUACUGGCAAGACAAAAGGUAGAAGGAACCAUAGUAUAAGUAAAAAGGGAACCGCAAUUUAAGUACAAUGGAACCAUAUGAGUAUAUGAAUGCAGUUAAGGGGGAGCUUGUCUCGUAUCCAUAAUGCUCGUUCGCGGUGGUUGACUUGCCAGACCAGGUGGACCGAUUAUCCCAAUCACCAUGAAAUCAUUGUUCUCCAUCAAAUACUUCAAGAAGGAAGAAAUAAAAAACACGAGUUCAAUUUUUCAUGCAUGCCAUUUAGCAACCAGUAAUGCUAAGUUUCAGUUGUAACGUAAACGUAUAGGACGCAAGUAUCAAUAGCCGGAUUGUAUAUAUGUCAAGAACAACUGUGUGCAAUACAAGGUAUAGCUCCACAAAUAAUUCUAGUGUACACUAUACAUAUAUAGGUUAAGAACCACUGUGUACUGACCAGCCCUUCUGAAAUCCCUGGUCCUAUGUGAUAACAU
This 508-nucleotide long non-coding RNA is filed under the name Triticum aestivum (bread wheat). Its description in RNAcentral is "long non-coding RNA (TAES_LNC015425)". Lineage: Eukaryota; Viridiplantae; Streptophyta; Magnoliopsida; Poales; Poaceae. The record is from RNAcentral.